Molecule: long non-coding RNA, 1029 nt
Filed under: Castor canadensis (American beaver)
Lineage: Eukaryota; Metazoa; Chordata; Mammalia; Rodentia; Castoridae
Description: lncRNA (ENSCCNG00000010336.1)
Source: RNAcentral
UUCCGCUCCUCUGCGCUCCCUUCCGUCCCUCCUCCCGCUGCCCCCCUCCAUAGGUCCCAAUGUAGUCGCCCGUAGCGACGGCCUCCACGCUAGGCCGGUCCUGCGCGCCCGAGCCCGUGCCCUCCUUGUCCUCAUGUCCAGGUCCCCCACUUCAAACCCAGUGCGACCCUCUUGUCAGUGCCCGGAUCAUGCGCACACUAGGCCCCGGAGAAGCCGCCCAGCACCGCCCAUUCUUUGGCCCAGUGCUUCGUCUCUCCUGCCUCAGUUUCCCCAUCUGUAACGGCGUGAUCGUGGCGCCCCAGAUCAGGGCCUGGGGCUGGGAAGGCUCAGGUGGUCCAUGCGGGGUCGGUUCCCCACCAAGCGGGAAGACCGGAAAGGGUCGCGAUGCUGUCCCCAAGGCUGGCUGUGCCCUCCACCGGGCGACGUCAGCUUCCUCUUUGGCGCUCUGAAGAUUGUAUUUCCAUCUGGAUCGUGCGAAUGACAGUGUGCGGAGGGCCUGCUGGCUCUGGGCAGGUGCUCAGAAAAAUCACUGUUUUUAUUGUUGGGAAGAGUUCUCAUGAGCAAGCCCCACCUUGGGCCACCCUGAGCAGGUGACACUCCAGUCCAGUCAACUGGUGACUGCAGCAGCCCUUCAGGUGAGGCAGGGGUGAUCAGAUGCACAUGACUCAUGGGAAACAGGGUCAGAAAGGUAGAGCACACCCAAGGCCACAGAGAAUGAAUGUGUCAGAGCCAGGAGAGCGUCCAGCCCCCUAAGCCCAGUUAGCACUCUGCUGCAGAGGAUCUGGGCAACCAGAGGCACAAAGGUGAGACUUUGUAUCCACUUGGGUCAGGGUGAAUCAGCCUUCAGCACAGCAGGUCCAGGGGCCACCCUCUUGUUUGAUAGAUGAGGAACUGAAGCCCAGAGAGGGUGAGGCUGCCAGGGACAGCACCGCCUGACUGAGUCAGGAUCUAUAGUCCACUUCUGGUCUAAAUGUAGAUUGAAGCUGAGUGGUGGCUCAAGCCUAUAAUCCUAGCUACUUGGGAGGCUGA